GCGCAGCAGUCGCGAAAACUCCGCAAUACGCGAAAGCGUGACGGGGCUACCCCGAGUGUCGUCCGCUGAGGACGACUUUUCCACGCUGUAAGGAGGCGUGGGAAUAAGGAGAGGGCAAGUCUGGUGUCAGCCGCCGCGGUAAUACCAGCUCUCCGAGUGGUAGGGACGAUUAUUGGGCUUAAAGCGUCCGUAGCCGGCUCAGCAAGUCUCCCGUUAAAUCCAACGAUUCAAUCGUUGAACUGCGGGAGAUACUGUUGAGCUAGGAGGCGGGAGAGGCCGACGGUAUUCCCGGAGUAGGGGUGAAAUCUUAUAAUUCCGGGAGGACCACCAGUGGCGAAGGCUGUCGGCUAGAACGCGCUCGACGGACUACCCGGGUAGUCC
This 381-nucleotide ribosomal RNA is filed under the name uncultured crenarchaeote. Its description in RNAcentral is "partial 16S ribosomal RNA". It matches the Rfam family "Archaeal small subunit ribosomal RNA", at positions 330 to 712 of the family's 1478-position model. Lineage: Archaea; Thermoproteati; Thermoproteota. The record is from RNAcentral.